UAGAGUUUGAUCAUGGCUCAGGAUGAACGCUAGCGACAGGCUUAACACAUGCAAGUCGAGGGGCAGCGGGGAGGUAGCAAUACUUCCGCCGGCGACCGGCGCACGGGUGAGUAACACGUAUGGAACCUGCCCGUAGCAGGGGGAUAAACGGAAGAAAUUCCGUCUAAUACCGCGUAAUAACUCCGAGAGGCAUCUCAUGGAGUUUAAAGGGUAACACCGGCUACGGAUGGCCAUGCGGCGCAUUAGCUAGUUGGCGGGGUAACGGCCCACCAAGGCGACGAUGCGUAGGGGUUCUGAGAGGAAGGUCCCCCACACUGGUACUGAGACACGGACCAGACUCCUACGGGAGGCAGCAGUGAGGAAUAUUGGUCAAUGGGCGCGAGCCUGAACCAGCCAAGUCGCGUGAGGGAAGACGGUCCUAUGGAUUGUAAACCUCUUUUGUCGGGGAGCAAAAGACGCCACGUGUGGCGUUCCGAGAGUACCCGAAGAAAAAGCAUCGGCUAACUCCGUGCCAGCAGCCGCGGUAAUACGGAGGAUGCGAGCGUUAUCCGGAUUUAUUGGGUUUAAAGGGUGCGCAGGCGGAAGAUCAAGUCAGCGGUAAAAUUGAGAGGCUCAACCUCUUCGAGCCGUUGAAACUGGUUUUCUUGAGUGAGCGAGAAGUAUGCGGAAUGCGUGGUGUAGCGGUGAAAUGCAUAGAUAUCACGCAGAACUCCGAUUGCGAAGGCAGCAUACCGGCGCUCAACUGACGCUCAUGCACGAAAGUGUGGGUAUCGAACAGGAUUAGAUACCCUGGUAGUCCACACAGUAAACGAUGAAUACUAAUUGUUCGGGGAGAAUGAUCCCUGAGUGAUACAGCGAAAGCGUUAAGUAUUCCACCUGGGGA
RNAcentral lists this ribosomal RNA (883 nucleotides) under uncultured bacterium. RNAcentral describes it as "bacterial SSU rRNA". It matches the Rfam family "Bacterial small subunit ribosomal RNA", at positions 1 to 879 of the family's 1533-position model. The record is from RNAcentral.